UACAGAGGUCCCAAGCGUUGUUCGGAUUCACUGGGCGUAAAGGGUGCGUAGGCGGCCAGGUAAGUCUGCUGUGAAAUCCCGCAGCUCAACUGCGGAACUGCAUCGGAUACUAUCUGGCUAGAGGAAUGGAGGGGAGACUGGAAUUCUCGGUGUAGCAGUGAAAUGCGUAGAUAUCGAGAGGAACACCAGUGGCGAAGGCGAGUCUCUGGACAUUUCCUGACGCUGAGGCACGAAAGCCAGGGGAGCAAACGGG
This 253-nucleotide ribosomal RNA is filed under the name uncultured bacterium. Its description in RNAcentral is "partial 16S ribosomal RNA". It matches the Rfam family "Bacterial small subunit ribosomal RNA", at positions 524 to 776 of the family's 1533-position model. The record is from RNAcentral.